This 794-nucleotide unclassified non-coding RNA is filed under the name Hevea brasiliensis (rubber tree). Lineage: Eukaryota; Viridiplantae; Streptophyta; Magnoliopsida; Malpighiales; Euphorbiaceae. The record is from RNAcentral.
CCAAGAAUUUAAAGAUUUCACCUGUUGCAGAUUCAAGGCACAAGAGAUCAAAUUUCCAGCAAUAACAAUGAAAACAAAAGUCUGGUUAAGAUUCCAAUUUUUCCAGGUUCAAUAAACAGCACCAAAAUGCACAUUUGAAGGUUUAAUAACUGCGUUAGAAAGGUCUGAACAACUGCAAAAGGUUGAUGCACGUUCUAACCAUGGCUUUACAUAACAUAAAUUUAGCCACUCUGACUCUUCAAAGUCUAUGCUUGCAUCAAAUUGACCCAGUCAACACUUGAAAAUGGUUUAUGUGAAAAUCCAAAUUUUAAUGAUUACAUAGUUCUAUAGCAAAAUUAACGGUUAUAUUCAUGUUUUACAUGGAAAUAGAGCUAAUCAAAUUGAUAAUUACAUUAAAAAGAAAAAAAAGUCAACGGAUAGAUGGAGUGUACAGGUCCACAUUCAAACGACUAGAUCACCCAAAAUAUUCAAGAACACGAUGAGUCAGACGCAUUAACAACUCCUAAUUAAGUUAUACACAGCAGCUCAAGUAGUGAUCAAACAUGAACCUCCAUAAUUGAUCAAUCCCAAUUCAACACAGAAUCUAUGUCAUUAUCAAAACAAAUUCUAUCCACAAUGAUAUGUCAACAAAAUCAUGCAAAAGGAAAAAAAAGCUAAUAAUUUUAUUGUUCAUGAAGAGCAAAGAGGAUUUCUUUGAGAAUAUAAGCAUCCCCAAAUAGAAAGAUACAUAUAAACAAAUAUAUUUAGAGAGAAAGAGGAGAAAAAAGAGUACCUUUGCAGGAAAAGGAGAACGU